RNAcentral lists this long non-coding RNA (468 nucleotides) under Homo sapiens (human). RNAcentral describes it as "HSALNT0194910". Lineage: Eukaryota; Metazoa; Chordata; Mammalia; Primates; Hominidae. The record is from RNAcentral.
GCCAGUGCUCAGGGCAGGAGAGAAGCAGGGAUAAAGAUGCCAUUCAGACAAAUUGGAGCCAACGGGGGCAGGUGUUGGGGGGGGCACAAGUGGGAGGGGAGAAGGAACAUGUCUGCUGCCCUGGCAGCCAGUCCCUGCCUUUCCACUCCCUCAAUCCCCUUGGAACUUCUGGAUUCUCAGCUCUUGGCUUCCGCAAACCAAAAACUGAUCCACUUGGCCUCAUGGGGCUGGGCUCGCUCUCCCCGUCAUCUAAUUUCCUUCCCUGACAGCAUUUGGAGGCCUCGUUUUUCUUAUUUUACAUCUGUGAAAGGGGAGUGACGCUCUCUGCAUGACUCAACUUUGUCAGCAUGAAGAUUCAUCACUUUGGAAAGAUGAGUCCUCCCGAGUGCUAAGGGGUCGUGAGAGCCGCCGUCCAAUCUUACUUCAAGGGGCAUCACUGAGAUAAGUAGAGGAGAAUCCCAGAUCUUU